Long non-coding RNA from Hypanus sabinus (Atlantic stingray), 2713 nucleotides. RefSeq lists it as uncharacterized. NCBI's taxonomy places the organism in Eukaryota, Metazoa, Chordata, Chondrichthyes, Myliobatiformes, Dasyatidae. The transcript has 3 exons. The record is from RefSeq and is a predicted model, not a curated record.
AGGAAAGAGGCAAGUUCCUCUACCUAAAGUGAGUUAGAGAAGACUUAAGAUUCAAGACCUUAAACGCUGUGUGCUGCAUUCACAGAGGAGUGAUACAUUAUCAGAGAUACCCUGUAUCUUCAGUGGUCUUCUGCAAUAUCGGAAUUGUACAGUCUGGAUAAAGAUGGGUUGAAAUGCUGCCUGGACUGCUGAGAAUUCUGAUAUUUUCUCUGAAAUUCUGUGGACAAUUGUACCGUUCGCACUAAAUCAUUUUUGGACAGUGCACCAGACUGCCAUGUAGUAAUGUCUCCAUGCAUCCUGGGCUUCCAGCUGUCAAGCUUCCCACGCCGUGGCAGUGAGAAAUAAUUGGUCGUAUCUCAGUCCUCAGUGCUGCCGCGGGCUGUGGCUUGUGAUACCACUGAGUGACCUCGUUAUCAGUGCUGACUCUGGGAAAAUAGAAGAACUCAAGGGUCAAGCUUCUUGUACCGACAUAUUUAGUAAACUAAAUGCCAUUAGUCCUGUAUAUUAUUUUUAAGCUACUACUAUAAAUUUACUUUUCAGUUAGGGUCAUAGCUCUACAGCACAGAAAUAAACCCUUCAUCCCAUCGAGUACCUGACUAGCUAUCUGCCUAGUCCCAUCGAUUUGCACCUGGACCAUAACCCUCCAUAUUUUGUCAAAUUUCUCUUAACUAUUGAAAUCGAACCUUCAUCCAUCACUUCCACUGGCAGCUCGUUCCACACUCUUGCCACUCUCUGAGUGAAGAAAUUCCCCCUCAUGUUCUGCUUAAACAUUCAUCUUUCACUCCUAACCCAUGAUUUCUAAUUGCCUCUGGCUUUGACUUUUACGGACCAUUUCAGAGGCUCACAGACACAUCUCUUCCCGCCAUUGGUAGUAUCUCCAAGAGGUGCUGCCUCAAGAAGUCAACAUCGAUCAUCAAAUUGUUUCAGCCUGAAACAUCGACGGUACAUUUUUCCAUAGAUGCUGGCUGGCCUGCUGAGUUCCUCCUGCAUUUUGUGUGUGUUGUGUGUGUUGCAUCAAUGAUCCCUGCCAUCGAAGCCAUGUCAUCUUUUAGCAGCUGCCUUUGGGCAGAAAGUACAGAAGCCCAAAGUCCCACACCUUCUGGUUCAAGAACAGUUACAUCCUUUUAACCACAAAAAUACAACUGCAGAUGCUGUGGAUUAAAGAAUACACACACGAUGCUGGAAGAACUCAGCAGGUCAGGCAGCAUCCGUGAGAAAAGAGUAGCCAACGUUUCAGGCCGAGACCCUUCAUCAGGAAUGGGGGGGAAGAGAGGACCAAACCACAGUAAUAGAGAUAGGGGAGGGGGUAGCGCCAUAGAGGCACCAGGUGGAAAACCAAUCAGAGGAAAGAUAAAGGGGGGAGUGUUGUGUUCGCAUCCUUUUAACCACUUAGUUGUUGAACCAACUGACGACAAAAUCCUAAUCACUACAGUUUAACAGCAGUAUGACCACUUUGAUCACUUUGCACUAAAAUGAACUUGCUUUUUUUCUUCGAAUUGUGUUUUUUGUAAAACAUGCGCAUACUUUAUAUUCAAUUGAUGUUUUCUUGUGAAUCUUCUAAUGUAAUGCUUUGUGCCUGUGAUGUUGCAAAGGUUAAGUUUCUUGUUGCACCUGUGUAUAAAUUGUUGCUUCCAGUGUGUAACGGUGCGUAUGACAAUAAGCUUGACUUUGAAUGGCGAUUGCCCAUCCGGGUUCUAUUUAUUUUCAUUAGUCCUCAGGGGUUUAGAGAAUCUAAAUAUUACAGGAGACCAUUCUUCCAUUGUGUCCAUGUUUCAUUGAUAGAUUCCCUCAGUGUAAUUCUUGUGCAAACAAAAUCACAUGCUUGCACAACCUUACAAUGCCACUUCACAAGUUCUCUUUCUGUAUGGGGAAACCAAUUGCAGCAGCUAUUGAAUAUUUAACUAACUGGUAGAGAUCUGCAUGAGGCUGCAUUGCAAUCAGAAAUAUUGGGGGCAUUAGUAUGACAACAGAUCUGGAACCAUACCUCUGCUCUCCUUCCUUGGGCCAACUGGGGGCUUUAGCUUCAGUUCCAGUCCUGUCUGUCAGAAUUAACACUUGAGAUCUGCACCAUCAUUUGGUUUUAUGUGCAGACGACUCUUCAUGGAGCCUCUGACAUGAGAUAGAAAAUCGGAGCUUCCUAUUUGCUCAGGUACCUAAGCACAUUCUUCUUAAGCCCAACAUCGGUGUGUUCCAGACCCACAAGUCUGAGUCACCAUUACGUGGAUCACCAACAGCUCUGUUGUCUCUGGAAGAGCUGAGGAUCUUCAUUCCUUGAUAUUGUUUGCUGCUCGUCCGAAGAUCACGGCCACCACCAGCAGCAGAACUGCAAUAGCUCAGCAUCAGUUGAGUUCACUGGUUCAUAAACCAACAGAUGUUAGAUUUCCAUAUGAAUCCAACAACUCCUUUGUAAAUCAAAUGAGAUAAUCCCUGCCAUUCAACUGUUCAAGAUAAAAUCAGUCAUCAUUAAUCUUUCUGAGUGUUUUGGACGCAUCAUUGAAGAUCUAUUUUAAGAACUGUAUCCUGUAUAAUACAUUACCAGAAAUAAAUAUCUAUGCUUUAAUAAUCUCCCAUAAAUUGGCACACACGUGUGCAUAUAAUGUAUAUUUCCUCUGAUCACACAUUGCUAGAUGCAAAACAUCUCUCAACAGAUUAUAUUUUAAAUGCAUAGUAAAGUAUGGAAAUCUAAGCAGUGGAAAAAAUAUGUGGUUAAAUA